GCAUGCCUAAUACAUGCAAGUCGAACGCACUCUCGUUAGAUUGAAGAAGCUUGCUUCUGAUUGAUAACAUUUGAGUGAGUGGCGGACGGGUGAGUAACACGUGGGUAACCUGCCCUAAAGUGGGGGAUAACAUUUGGAAACAGAUGCUAAUACCGCAUAAAACCUAGCACCGCAUGGUGCAAGGUUGAAAGAUGGUUUCGGCUAUCACUUUAGGAUGGACCCGCGGUGCAUUAGUUAGUUGGUGAGGUAAAGGCUCACCAAGACCGUGAUGCAUAGCCGACCUGAGAGGGUAAUCGGCCACACUGGGACUGAGACACGGCCCAGACUCCUACGGGAGGCAGCAGUAGGGAAUCUUCCACAAUGGACGAAAGUCUGAUGGAGCAACGCCGCGUGAGUGAAGAAGGUUUUCGGAUCGUAAAACUCUGUUGUUGGAGAAGAACGCAUUUGAUAGUAACUGAUCAGGUAGUGACGGUAUCCAACCAGAAAGCCACGGCUAACUACGUGCCAGCAGCCGCGGUAAUACGUAGGUGGCAAGCGUUGUCCGGAUUUAUUGGGCGUAAAGCGAGCGCAGGCGGUUUCUUAAGUCUGAUGUGAAAGCCUUCGGCUCAACCGAAGAAGUGCAUCGGAAACUGGGAAACUUGAGUGCAGAAGAGGACAGUGGAACUCCAUGUGUAGCGGUGAAAUGCGUAGAUAUAUGGAAGAACACCAGUGGCGAAGGCGGCUGUCUGGUCUGUAACUGACGCUGAGGCUCGAAAGCAUGGGUAGCAAACAGGAUUAGAUACCCUGGUAGUCCACG
RNAcentral lists this ribosomal RNA (796 nucleotides) under uncultured Lactobacillus sp. RNAcentral's name for it is "bacterial SSU rRNA". It matches the Rfam family "Bacterial small subunit ribosomal RNA", at positions 42 to 799 of the family's 1533-position model. Lineage: Bacteria; Bacillati; Bacillota; Bacilli; Lactobacillales; Lactobacillaceae. The record is from RNAcentral.